AUUGAACGCUGGCGGCAUGCCUUACACAUGCAAGUCGAACGGUAACGGGCCUUCGGGUGCCGACGAGUGGCGAACGGGUGAGUAAUACAUCGGAACGUGCCCGAUCGGGGGGGAUAACGAGGCGAAAGCUUUGCUAAUACCGCAUACGAUCUACGGAUGAAAGCGGGGGACCGCAAGGCCUUGGGCGGACGGAGCGGCCGAUGGCAGAUUAGGUAGUUGGUGGGAUAAAAGCUUACCAAGCCGACGGUCUGUAGCUGGUCUGAGAGGAUGAGCGGCCACACGGGGAGUGAGACACGGCCCAGACUCCUACGGGAGGCAGCAGUGGGGAAUUUUGGACAAUGGGCGCAAGCCUGAUCCAGCCAUGCCGCGUGCAGGAUGAAGGCCUUCGGGUUGUAAACUGCUUUUGUACGGAACGAAAAGCCUUCUUCUAAUACAGGAGGGUCAUGACGGUACCGUAAGAAUAAGCACCGGCUAACUACGUGCCAGCCGCCGCAGUAA
RNAcentral lists this ribosomal RNA (498 nucleotides) under uncultured bacterium. Its description in RNAcentral is "partial 16S ribosomal RNA". It matches the Rfam family "Bacterial small subunit ribosomal RNA", at positions 29 to 523 of the family's 1533-position model. The record is from RNAcentral.